AAUCAGCCUUAAGAAAUCAUGAGUCACGCGGCAGGGAAAGCAACGCCAGCGCCAAGUAACUUCUCUGAGAACUGGGAACCCACGGGCUUGGACAAACACUGUGGAAUAUUAUAUCUGGGGCCAACGCCUUGAAAUAUAACUUGCUGCACCCACUUGAUACGUCUGCUUCACCCUGCCAGGCAGCCCAUGCGCUGAGGGUAGGGGCCAUAUGUCUUAUCUACUGAUCAAUUCCCAGAGCGAAGACCAUACCUAGCACACACAAGGCACUAAAGGGACUUUCAGUAAAUGAGCAUAAUCUUGCGUGCAUUUGGCUUUCACGGAUCACAUCUAGAAUACAAACUGCACCAAAGGUGGGGC
RNAcentral lists this long non-coding RNA (357 nucleotides) under Mus musculus (house mouse). Its description in RNAcentral is "RIKEN cDNA A130051J0 gene". The record is from RNAcentral. Lineage: Eukaryota; Metazoa; Chordata; Mammalia; Rodentia; Muridae.